CGUGCAGGCGGUCGGGUAAGUCAGAUAUGAAAGCCUUUCGCUUAACGAGAGAAGUGCAUUUGAAACUGCUCGGCUAGAGUACGGGAGAGGAGAGUGGAAUUCCCGGUGUAGAGGUGAAAUUCGUAGAUAUCGGGAGGAACACCAGUGGCGAAGGCGGCUCUCUGGUCCGAUACUGACGCUGAGACGCGAAAGCGUGGGGAGCAAACAGGAUUAGAUACCCUGGUAGUCCACGCCGUAAACGAUGGGCACUAGGUGUAGGAGGUAUUGACCCCUUCUGUGCCGAAGCUAACGCAUUAAGUGCCCCGCCUGGGGAGUACGGCCGCAAGGCUAAA
This 332-nucleotide ribosomal RNA is filed under the name uncultured bacterium. RNAcentral's name for it is "bacterial SSU rRNA". It matches the Rfam family "Bacterial small subunit ribosomal RNA", at positions 568 to 898 of the family's 1533-position model. The record is from RNAcentral.